CGAAAGGCGGGCUAACAUCAGAUGAUAUAUAAUCACGACAUCGUGGAAAUAUCAAAUCUUCGGAGCCUUGGGAUGAGCCUGCGUCUGAUUAGGUAGUUGGCGGAGUAAUAGCCCACCAAGCCUACGAUCAGUAGCUGGUCUGAGAGGAUGAUCAGCCACACUGGAACUGAGACACGGUCCAGACUCCUACGGGAGGCAGCAGUAAGGAAUAUUGCUCAAUGGGGGAAACCCUGAAGCAGCAACGCCGCGUGAAGGAUGAAAUACUUUUGUAUGUAAACUUCUGUAAGAUGGGAAAAAUAUUCUCCUCGGGAGAAUUGAUUGUACCAUCAGAGUAAGCCCCGGCUAACUACGUG
This 353-nucleotide ribosomal RNA is filed under the name uncultured bacterium. RNAcentral's name for it is "bacterial SSU rRNA". It matches the Rfam family "Bacterial small subunit ribosomal RNA", at positions 152 to 507 of the family's 1533-position model. The record is from RNAcentral.